Long non-coding RNA from Armigeres subalbatus, 614 nucleotides. RefSeq lists it as uncharacterized. The transcript is spliced from 3 exons. The record is from RefSeq and is a predicted model, not a curated record. NCBI's taxonomy places the organism in Eukaryota, Metazoa, Arthropoda, Insecta, Diptera, Culicidae.
UAUUGUGUGUGACGAGAUGCAAGUAGCGUACCUGUUUGGGAGUUGCCCACUUAUAUCGUUUGUUGCUGGAAUUGGAAAGAGGAGAAAGAAAGAUGAAGUAGAUAGAAUCUAUUGUAAUGUGAAAAGUAAACAAACGGAUUAUUCAGAAAGUGAAAGUUAUUGCUACUAUUUUCGGUGCAUUAAGAAAUUAUUAGAAGUGAGGAGGUAAAUUCUUGCGUAUACUGAACUCUAUAUUUGGGACAAAGUAAGGAAGAUUAAGUGCUUACAGUUAAAUUUAAUAAAAUAAUAAAAUUGUAUUUAAGGUUUCCAGUGCUAGAAUUGUCCGCGAAGAUUAAGACCUGGAAUAGAAAAGAAUAAUUAUUCAUGGUUGUUAACUGAACGGAUUAAUAUUAGCAAAAGGACAGAGGAAGUUUGCUGGAAAGAGGUUCGCUCUACGGAAACGGUUAUUGUGCGAAAGGGGAGUGUAGAACCAAACGUUUUUUAGCUGCUACCGAAAAAUAGGACUGCUCAAAAAAUUGGUUUGAAUCCGAACAAACUAAAAAACGUUUGCACCUGAGUCGGAUUUACCUUUGUCGCACCAUGACGGAUCCAAAUGCGAAAAUCCUUGACCUCAC